This 441-nucleotide ribosomal RNA is filed under the name uncultured bacterium. RNAcentral describes it as "partial 16S ribosomal RNA". It matches the Rfam family "Bacterial small subunit ribosomal RNA", at positions 338 to 795 of the family's 1533-position model. The record is from RNAcentral.
CCUACGGGAGGCAGCAGUGGGGAAUCUUGCACAAUGGGGGCAACCCUGAUGCAGCGACACCGCGUGAGUGAAGAAGGAUUUCGGUAUGUAAAGCUCUAUCAGCAGGGAAGAAGAAAGACGGUACCUGACUAAGAAGCCCCGGCUAACUACGUGCCAGCAGCCGCGGUAAUACGUAGGUGGCAAGCGUUAUCCGGAUUUACUGGGUGUAAAGGGAGCGUAGACGGCUGUGCAAGUCUGAAGUGAAAGCCCAGGGCUCAACCCUGGGACUGCAUUGGAAACUGUGGAGCUAGAGUGCUGGAGAGGUAAGUGGAAUUCCUAGUGUAGCGGUGGAAUGCGUAGAUAUUAGGAGGAACACCAGUGGCGAAGGCGGCUUACUGGACAGUAACUGACGUUGAGGCUCGAAAGCGUGGGGAGCGAACAGGAUUAGAUACCCGAGUAGUC